Non-coding RNA from Acanthosepion pharaonis, 112 nucleotides. The record is from the annotation of a GenBank genome assembly. Lineage: Eukaryota; Metazoa; Mollusca; Cephalopoda; Sepiida; Sepiidae.
UUACGUCCAUAUAGCGUCGAAACACCAGUUCUCGUACGAUCACGAAGUUAAGCAACGUCGAACCUGGUCAGUACCUAGAUGGGUGACAGCUUAAGAAUACCAGGUGCCGUAA